GGUGCGGCCGAAGACAAGAGGGCCAUCACCGUCGGAAACCUCCGCAGCCAGGGCAUCUCCGGGUGGAUGAACCUGACGCUCAAGCAGCCCGGGUUCCAUGGCUCCACGAUAUCCUACAAGUCCGCCGAGAGGAAGAAGCUGCAGGAGGCCGGGCACGUCAUCGUUGGCAACAUCGGCGACCAGUGGAGCGACCUCCUCGGCGCGCCCGAGGGAGCUCGUACCUUCAAGCUGCCCGACCCACUCUACUACAUCGGCUAG
RNAcentral lists this ribosomal RNA (258 nucleotides) under Triticum aestivum (bread wheat). RNAcentral describes it as "partial small subunit ribosomal RNA". The record is from RNAcentral. Lineage: Eukaryota; Viridiplantae; Streptophyta; Magnoliopsida; Poales; Poaceae.